RNAcentral lists this ribosomal RNA (823 nucleotides) under uncultured Orbiliaceae. RNAcentral describes it as "eukaryotic LSU rRNA". The stretch from base 243 to 823 matches the Rfam family "Eukaryotic large subunit ribosomal RNA", at positions 1 to 585 of the family's 3401-position model. The record is from RNAcentral. Lineage: Eukaryota; Fungi; Ascomycota; Orbiliomycetes; Orbiliales.
UCAUCGAGUCUUUGAACGCACAUUGCGCCCAUUGGUAUUCCAUUGGGCAUGUCUGUUUGAGCGUCAUUACAACCCCUCAGCUCAUGCUGGUAUUGGGCAGGAACCGGUUGGAAACAACUGCUCCGGCCUUAAAGUUGUAGCUCUGCUGGCUGCUACGCCUGACCCAAAACAUAGUAAAUCUUGCUUGUUUAGUUAUGGAAUAGUAAAACCGGCCUGAACAAAAUCUUUAAAUUUCUAAGGUUUGACCUCAGAUCAGACAAGGAUACCCGCUGAACUUAAGCAUAUCAAUAAGCGGAGGAAAAGAAACCAACAGGGAUUGCAUUAGUAACGGCGAGUGAAGCGGCAAAAGCUCAAAUUUGAAAUCUGUUUUUUUUAAAAACCGAGUUGUAAUUUGAAGAGGAUAUUUCGGUUGCGGCUUGGGCCCAAGUUCCUUGGAACAGGACGUCAUGGAGGGUGAGAAUCCCGUACGUGGCUACCGGCUUGCUUCUAUGUGAAAUUCCUUCGAAGAGUCGAGUUGUUUGGGAAUGCAGCUCAAAAUGGGUGGUAAAUUUCAUCUAAAGCUAAAUAUUGGCGAGAGACCGAUAGCGCACAAGUAGAGUGAUCGAAAGAUGAAAAGCACUUUGAAAAGAGAGUUAAACAGUACGUGAAAUUGUUGAAAGGGAAGCGUUUGCAAUCAGACUCACCUUCAGUUGAUCAACGUUCCUUCUGGUUCGUGCACUCUGCUGUUUGUGGGCCAGCAUCAGUUGACGGCGGUAGGACAAAGGUUUCGGGAAUGUGGCUCUCUUCGGGGAGUGUUAUAGCCCGUUGCGUAAUGCUACCAGCU